RNAcentral lists this ribosomal RNA (863 nucleotides) under Staphylococcus sp. A261. RNAcentral's name for it is "bacterial SSU rRNA". It matches the Rfam family "Bacterial small subunit ribosomal RNA", at positions 50 to 873 of the family's 1533-position model. The record is from RNAcentral. Lineage: Bacteria; Bacillati; Bacillota; Bacilli; Caryophanales; Staphylococcaceae.
UAUACAUGCAAGUCGAGCGACAGAUAAGGAGCUUGCUCCUUUGACGUUAGCGGCGGACGGGUGAGUAACACGUGGGUAACCUACCUAUAAGACUGGGAUAACUUCGGGAAACCGGAGCUAAUACCGGAUAACAUUUGGAACCGCAUGGUUCUAAAGUGAAAGAUGGUUUUGCUAUCACUUAUAGAUGGACCCGCGCCGUAUUAGCUAGUUGGUAAGGUAACGGCUUACCAAGGCGACGAUACGUAGCCGACCUGAGAGGGUGAUCGGCCACACUGGAACUGAGACACGGUCCAGACUCCUACGGGAGGCAGCAGUAGGGAAUCUUCCGCAAUGGGCGAAAGCCUGACGGAGCAACGCCGCGUGAGUGAUGAAGGGUUUCGGCUCGUAAAACUCUGUUAUUAGGGAAGAACAAACGUGUAAGUAACUGUGCACGUCUUGACGGUACCUAAUCAGAAAGCCACGGCUAACUACGUGCCAGCAGCCGCGGUAAUACGUAGGUGGCAAGCGUUAUCCGGAAUUAUUGGGCGUAAAGCGCGCGUAGGCGGUUUCUUAAGUCUGAUGUGAAAGCCCACGGCUCAACCGUGGAGGGUCAUUGGAAACUGGGAAACUUGAGUGCAGAAGAGGAAAGUGGAAUUCCAUGUGUAGCGGUGAAAUGCGCAGAGAUAUGGAGGAACACCAGUGGCGAAGGCGACUUUCUGGUCUGUAACUGACGCUGAUGUGCGAAAGCGUGGGGAUCAAACAGGAUUAGAUACCCCUGGUAGUCCACGCCGUAAACGAUGAGUGCUAAGUGUUAUGGGGUUUCCGCCCCCUUAGUGCUGCAGCUAACGCAUUAAGCCACUCCGUCCUUGGGGGAAGUAACGAAC